GCACUACCACCGUUGCGGAUACAUCCCCGAUCCUAAUUUAUCUCAUAUUCAGUAUUAACUUGGCGUAUUGCAGUCUCAAUGGGGAUCACUGCUUCUGCAACAACCCUCAGGUUCUAUUGUCACUCUGGCUACAAGUACUCCUAUUGUCUUUCUCGCUAAGACUAGCCAUCCUACUUGGAUUCUGGAUUUCAGAGCCAAUGACCAUAUAACUGGUAAGUGAUCCAUGUUUUCGUCACCUAUUGUUUUCAUACAUCAAACCGUUUGUCUUACUGAUGAGUCUACUUCUACCAUCCAACAUAAGGUGAUGUGUGUCUAUCUCCUAAUAUUAGUCUCCCGUAUGUUCUUCAUGUACCCAAUUUUGCAUUUAAUCCUCUGUCCAAAGACUUUCAAUUGUAUUGUCAUUUUCUUAUCCGAUUGUUGUCUCUUGCAGGACCAGAUUUCGAAGAAGAUUUUUGGCAAGGGAUAUGAGCGCGAUGGACUGUAUUACUUUGGGGAUUCUCCUUGUGAGAAUGUACUGACAUCUAGUCUUCAAGCGUCUGCUUUGCCUAAUCUUUAGUCUUGCGUUUUUUUCUCUAAAACUUUGCAUUUGUGGCAUGCCC
RNAcentral lists this long non-coding RNA (599 nucleotides) under Actinidia chinensis (golden kiwifruit). RNAcentral describes it as "long non-coding RNA (ACHI_LNC007023)". The record is from RNAcentral. Lineage: Eukaryota; Viridiplantae; Streptophyta; Magnoliopsida; Ericales; Actinidiaceae.